UACGUAGGGUGCAAGCGUUGUCCGGAAUUAUUGGGCGUAAAGAGUUCGUAGGCGGUUUGUCGCGUCGUUUGUGAAAACCCGGGGCUCAACUUCGGGCUUGCAGGCGAUACGGGCAGACUUGAGUGUUUCAGGGGAGACUGGGAUUCCUGGUGUAGCGGUGAAAUGCGCAGAUAUCAGGAGGAACACCGGUGGCGAAGGCGGGUCUCUGGGCAAUUCCUGACGCUGAGGCGCGAAAGCGUGGGGAGCAAACGGG
RNAcentral lists this ribosomal RNA (253 nucleotides) under uncultured bacterium. RNAcentral's name for it is "partial 16S ribosomal RNA". It matches the Rfam family "Bacterial small subunit ribosomal RNA", at positions 524 to 776 of the family's 1533-position model. The record is from RNAcentral.